CAGCAGUCGCCGCGGUAAUACGGAGGGAGCUAGCGUUGUUCGGAAUUACUGGGCGUAAAGCGCGCGUAGGCGGUUACUCAAGUCAGAGGUGAAAGCCCGGGGCUCAACCCCGGAACUGCCUUUGAAACUAGGUGACUAGAAUCUUGGAGAGGUUAGUGGAAUUCCGAGUGUAGAGGUGAAAUUCGUAGAUAUUCGGAAGAACACCAGUGGCGAAGGCGACUGACUGGACAAGUAUUGACGCUGAGGUGCGAAAGCGUGGGGAGCAAACAGGAUUAGAUACCCCCGUAGUCCCUGUCUCUUAUAC
RNAcentral lists this ribosomal RNA (304 nucleotides) under uncultured bacterium. RNAcentral describes it as "partial 16S ribosomal RNA". It matches the Rfam family "Bacterial small subunit ribosomal RNA", at positions 509 to 807 of the family's 1533-position model. The record is from RNAcentral.